UGGGGAAUCUUGCACAAUGGGGGAAACCCUGAUGCAGCGACGCCGCGUGAACGAUGAAGCCCUUCGGGGUGUAAAGUUCUUUCGACAGGAACGAUAAUGACGGUACCUGGAGAAGAAGCUGCGGCUAACUACGUGCCAGCAGCCGCGGUAAUACGUAGGCAGCGAGCGUUGUUCGGAGUUACCGGGCGUAAAGAGUGCGUAGGCGGCGAGCCAAGUUUGGUGUGAAAUCUCCCGGCUUAACCGGGAGGGUGCGCCGAAAACUGGUUGGCUGGAGUAUAGGAGAGGAAAGCGGAAUUCCUGGUGUAGCGGUGAAAUGCGUAGAUAUCAGGAGGAACACCUGCGGUGUAGACAGCUUUCUGGACCAAAACUGACGCUGAGGCACGAAAGCGUGGGUAGCAAACA
RNAcentral lists this ribosomal RNA (402 nucleotides) under uncultured bacterium. Its description in RNAcentral is "bacterial SSU rRNA". It matches the Rfam family "Bacterial small subunit ribosomal RNA", at positions 355 to 774 of the family's 1533-position model. The record is from RNAcentral.